CGGUUUCUUCUUCGACACCGAUGGUUUCUAAAAUAUAUUAAUAUAUAGUAGAAAUCUUAGGUGUUGAAGAAGAAAUAGUGGCGAACGGGUGAGUAACGCGUAGAUAACCUACCUCGUAGAUGGGGACAACACUGCGAAAGUGGUGCUAAUACCAAAUAUGAUGCCUUGAUUGCAUAAUUAAGGUAAGAAAGGCGGCCUCUGAAUAUGCUGCCGCUAUGAGAUGGGUCUGCGUCUGAUUAGCUAGUUGGUGGGGUAACGGCUCACCAAGGCGACGAUCAGUAGCCGGUCUGAGAGGAUGAACGGCCACACUGGGACUGAGACACGGCCCAGACUCCUACGGGAGGCAGCAGUGGGGAAUCUUCCGCAAUGGACGAAAGUCUGACGGAGCAACGCCGCGUGAGUGAAGAAGGUUUUCGGAUCGUAAAGCUCUGUCUUUUGGGACGAACGUGAAGCUGUUUAAGAGAUGGUUUUAAUGACGGUACCGAAGAAGGAAGCCACGGCUAACUACGUGCCAGCAGCCGCGGUAAUACGUAGGUGGCAAGCGUUGUCCGGAAUUAUUGGGCGUAAAGGGCGUGUAGGUGGGAUUUUAAGUCUUAAGUAUAAGUUCGGUGCUCAACGCCGUGUUGCUU
RNAcentral lists this ribosomal RNA (629 nucleotides) under uncultured bacterium. RNAcentral's name for it is "bacterial SSU rRNA". It matches the Rfam family "Bacterial small subunit ribosomal RNA", at positions 1 to 626 of the family's 1533-position model. The record is from RNAcentral.